Molecule: long non-coding RNA, 276 nt
Filed under: Linum usitatissimum (flax)
Lineage: Eukaryota; Viridiplantae; Streptophyta; Magnoliopsida; Malpighiales; Linaceae
Description: long non-coding RNA (LUSI_LNC004494)
Source: RNAcentral
GUGACUUCCCUUUGAAUAACAUAAUUCCACUAUUGUGUCUAGCUCAUGACGUAAAAGAAGAACUUCUUGGGAGGCAACCCAAGGUAUGUGUUUGUUAUUAUUUUUUUAUUUUUGUUUUUCCUUCGUGUGUUUGUGAUAGUUCAGGUCAUUGAGGACAAUCCCUUCAAGUUUGGGGGCACCGGUGUUAUUGAUUGUAUUUAAAAAAAUGAUUUUGGAUUCUCAUAAAGGGAUGAUGUCUAAGGUUAAAAGGGAUUUAAGUAGUCCAUGUGACUCCCC